ACAGAGAUCUUGGAGCUAAUGCACUUGUUCUAGGGCCAAUGGAACAAAGUCAACUGGCAAGGUUCUACAAUGCGUCAACGCCAGAGCCAUUUUUGUGAACCCAACUGUUGGAGCUCAUGGAUUGGAUCAUACUUUGUUGGAAGCAAUGCUUUCUGGUUUGCCUGUGAUGGCUACGAGGGUAGCCUGCAUCACAGGAGCUGCGAUUAUUGGCAAAGAAAUGGUCUUUAUCUUUUCAACAACAGUACUUUCAUUGAAGAAUG
RNAcentral lists this unclassified non-coding RNA (260 nucleotides) under Hevea brasiliensis (rubber tree). Lineage: Eukaryota; Viridiplantae; Streptophyta; Magnoliopsida; Malpighiales; Euphorbiaceae. The record is from RNAcentral.